UACGUAGGCAGCGAGCGUUGUUCGGAAUUACUGGGCGUAAAGCGUGCGCAGGCGGUUUUGUAAGUCUGUCGUGAAAGCCCCGGGCUCAACCUGGGAAUUGCGAUGGAGACUGCAAGGCUUGAAUCUGGCAGAGGGGGGUAGAAUUCCACGUGUAGCAGUGAAAUGCGUAGAGAUGUGGAGGAACACCGAUGGCGAAGGCAGCCCCCUGGGUCAAGAUUGACGCUCAUGCACGAAAGCGUGGGGAGCAAACAGG
RNAcentral lists this ribosomal RNA (253 nucleotides) under uncultured bacterium. Its description in RNAcentral is "partial 16S ribosomal RNA". It matches the Rfam family "Bacterial small subunit ribosomal RNA", at positions 524 to 776 of the family's 1533-position model. The record is from RNAcentral.